Molecule: long non-coding RNA, 1186 nt
Organism: Pipra filicauda (Wire-tailed manakin)
Lineage: Eukaryota; Metazoa; Chordata; Aves; Passeriformes; Pipridae
Exons: 7
Source: RefSeq, a predicted model, not a curated record
UAAAGCAUUUUUUUUUCCCUUUCCUUCCCCCCCACCCUCGCGCCCGCUUUGUUUUCUCCAUUUCGUUUGUUUAGGUUUAACUGUGCUUAGAAACAAAGAAAAACACAUGAAAAACAACAACAACAACAAAAAAAGAAGAUAACCAGGUUCAUCUUGAAACAGGAAUUGAAGCAGACUCACAGACCCUCUCAUAUUUUCAAAGAUGUGUGUACGAAAUCCUUCACGUUAACGGCAGACAUGGCAACUCUGGCUGACUGUGAUCCGUGGAGAAGGGCCCGAGGAGCAGGAUGCAGAUGUGAACAACCUGGAACAGGGACUGCCACAGGAAGCAGGCAAAGCAGGGAGGAAGGAAGCAGCAGUUUGCAGGUCUCAGACUAAGGUGGAUGGUGAUGCCAAGGUCAGGAGCUGAUGUAUUUUAGGAAGGAAGGGAGCCAGAGCCAGAGCUGGUGCCAGCAUGGUCCCAGCACCUGAUGAGGCAGGAUCCUUCCCCUUGGAGAUGAUUUUCCCUGUCCAGCACGGCUUUGCAGCCCAGGACUGAAGACCCCACCUCACCUCUAGGGGAAGAUGAAGUUAUAGGAGGUGGAGGCACUGACAGCCAGCCUAAAAUGAAAAAGGGACACAGCCUGUGGCAGCCCAGCCUUACCCUGUCUGCAGCCUGCUGAGGGGGUCAGGAUGAUGCUCCCAAGGACACGAGUGACCAGGAAAGUGGCUGAUGACCAGUGGGAGUCCCCAGUAUGAGAAGGAGGUUGGAGUCAGCAACAGGGGAGCAACCCGGAUACCCAUCGCUGCACUUCAAAAGGCUGAGUCCCACGACUUGCGGAGCGGUUUGGAGUCAUGUCCCGGGGAGGUGGUCACGCCGUGGUGAUGGCAUUGAGGUCCUUCAUCAGUCCUUCCAGGUGGGCCAUCUCUUUGGUCAGCUCAUCCGGCUCGUAGGUCUGGGGAGAGGGAGAGGGUUACUACAGGGGGCCUUGGCUCUCCUUAGGGAGGGACAGGACAGGAAACACAGAGGAAUGGUCAGGGACUGCUGUGGGAUAUGGCUCUGACUCGGGAAUAACCACACGUGGAUUGGAUUUAGCCACAGUUACAGGAAUUAAUAACUUGAAAGAACACUCUAAGGAGUGGCUGGAGCUGUGCCAGGGGAGGUUUAGGUUGGACAGUAGGAAAAGGUUCUUCCCCCAGAGGGUGG